This 765-nucleotide long non-coding RNA is filed under the name Ananas comosus (pineapple). RNAcentral describes it as "long non-coding RNA (ACOM_LNC008936)". The record is from RNAcentral. Lineage: Eukaryota; Viridiplantae; Streptophyta; Magnoliopsida; Poales; Bromeliaceae.
UUUGUACUGAGCAUGCUAUGAGUUAUAGGAUCUAGGUUUAGGAUUCGUAUUGUCGGAUCGUUGGCGCUAACCAUUAAUCCCAAAAACUCGAGCUGUUAGAAAUAUGCAACCAAUUCACUUAAAGCGUACAGAUACAGCACCCACGGGUCUCAAUUGUGACUCGGCCUACCCAGCCUCACGCCACUUCGAACAUGACUCGGCCUAAUCCAGCCUCACACCAUUUCAAAUAUGACUCGGCCCACAUGGAUCUUCCGCCAUUUUGAAUAUGACUCGGCCCACAUGGCCUCUCACCACAGGGCAGGAUGCUGGCCCAUUUAAGCCAACAAUCCCCCCUCCAGCAUCUGGACACAUUUGCAGCAUGCCGGAAUCGAACCCUUGACCACGGUCGGAUCGUUGGCACUAACCAUUAAUCCCGAAAGCUCGAGUUGUUAGAAAUACACAACCAAUUCACUUAAAGCGUACAGAUACAGCGCCCACGGGUCUCAAUUGUGACUCAGCCCACCCAGUUUCACCCCACUUCGAACAUGACUCGGCCCAACCCAACCUCACGUCAUUUCGAAUAUGACUCGGCCCACAUGGCCUCCCAUCACAGGGCAGGAUGCUGGCCUAUUUAAGCCAACACGUAGGACAUUUGUGGGCGACCUUUGACAGUUAACAUUCUUCAUGAUAUAGGUCGUAGGAGGCCAGUUGAUAUUAGGAAGUUGAGGUGAGAUCUUUUGGAUGCUCUAGUCUUAUGUUGAGACAGUUGAGCCGUUUCGUGUGAUU